AGAGAAAUAAAAGAAGAGAACAGGGCAGCUUGCAUGAGGCAGCUGAGCCAAACUCCUAUGCCUCCUUUGUUCUUGUGAGAGUUGUGUGAGGCAGCUUAGAGGAAGAAGAAGGGAGGAGCCUAAAAUCUCAGGGAGAAGCAAAAAAUCCUGUGAGAGAAAGGUAUGGAGAGCGCCCAUAAGAAGGCAGUCGGCAUGGUGACGCUACUGGUGGUUCUGCAGCUGCUCGUGGCGGCAGCUCCGCCGGCCAUGGCUCGCUCACCACCAGAGGAGAUGGGAAUGGCAGCGGCGCGGUCAAAAAAGAUAGCAAUUGAGCGCCUCGUCCUGAAAGCACCGCGGGGAGACGCCAGAUGCGCUGACGAAACAUGCUAUACUGGUUUUUGCUUCGUCGUCGCUGGUUGCAGCUGCCAGUAUCCCUACUGUUCGAAGCCUCGCGUUCCAACGCCAGUUCAUGCUUGAAAAGCUUCACCUUCCAUUUGUCGACGGACCUUAAAACAUUGGGUUUUGCUUUCUCUCUAAAAAAAGAGCUAAUAUGCGUACGUUUGUGAUUUAAGUGUGAACUAUGCAUGCAUGCAUACAUGGCUCAUGUCUGUUCGGGGACGUGGAUAAGGGCGGCGUUGUAAUACAUGGCUCAUGUCUCUUGAAUAAAUGAUAUAUGUGUGGGAUCGUGUAUCACGAGUUCACUACCAUGCAUGUGUGUGGCAUGGUAGUUUAGUAGCAUGCAGAAAUAUUUAUGGAAGAGUUUAAAUGGUGCUUGAUGCCUACUGGGGAGGACAGGACAACUGGAGUGGGGGUGACAACUUGGGAUGUUGCUGAAGAUAUAUAGACGCCCACACUUGGACAAGCGCGACAACUUCAGCUCUGGAGUUCAUCAGAUCGCCGAUUGCUCUGGUGUCGCAGCAGAUGACUUGAAACAUCCACCGCCAUCAUACCCAAUGUUACCCGAUCUGGUCAUGAUCCGUCCUGACUCCUGAGACGCUGGAUAUGUAAUAAAGCACCUUCUUUGUUUUAGGCCAUGUUUUAUGAAACGAAAAUAUUAACGCUCA
Long non-coding RNA from Triticum dicoccoides, 1043 nucleotides. RefSeq lists it as uncharacterized. Lineage: Eukaryota; Viridiplantae; Streptophyta; Magnoliopsida; Poales; Poaceae. The transcript has 2 exons. The record is from RefSeq and is a predicted model, not a curated record.